Molecule: ribosomal RNA, 640 nt
Filed under: uncultured Ascomycota
Lineage: Eukaryota; Fungi; Ascomycota
Description: partial 18S ribosomal RNA
Rfam family: 5.8S ribosomal RNA (bases 238-391)
Source: RNAcentral
GGAAGUAAAAGUCGUAAACAAGGUUUCCGUAGGUGAACCUGCGGAAGGAUCAUUGAAGAGUAAGGGUGCUCAGCGCCCGACCUCCAACCCUUUGUUGUUAAAACUACCUUGUUGCUUUGGCGGGACCGCUCGGUCUCGAGCCGCCGGGGAUUCGUCCCAGGGCCGGACGCCCGCCAGAGUUAAACUAAACUCUUGUUAUUAAACCGGUCGUCUGAGUUAAAAUUUUGAAUAAAUCAAAACUUUCAACAACGGAUCUCUUGGUUCUCGCAUCGAUGAAGAACGCAGCGAAAUGCGAUAAGUAAUGUGAAUUGCAGAAUUCAGUGAAUCAUCGAAUCUUUGAACGCACAUUGCGCCCCUUGGUAUUCCGAGGGGCAUGCCUGUUCGAGCGUCAUUACACCACUCAAGCUAUGCUUGGUAUUGGGUGCCGUCCUUAGUUGGGCGCGCCUUAAAGACCUCGGCGAGGCCUCACCGGCUUUAGGCGUAGUAGAAUUUAUUCGAACGUCUGUCAAAGGAGAGGACUUCUGCCGACUGAAACCUUUUAUUUUUCUAGGUUGACCUCGGAUCAGGUAGGGAUACCCGCUGAACUUAAGCAUAUCAAUAAGCGGAGGAAAAGAAACCAACAGGGAUUGCCUUAGUAACG